GGGCCACAGCCCGGAGGGGCGCGGACCAGACCCGGCCGCAGCGGCCUCCGGGAGUCCCAGCUCCGCACCUGUCUGCUCCGUCCCGCGGGGGGCGGAGUGGGGCCAGGGCCUCUCAGACUAGAUGGUGGGCGAGGAGGUGUUAGCAAACGGGAGGUCCCGGAGACGCUUUUUCCUGGUUCGGCCCCCACCGCUCGGCGGAACACGUGCUGACUCUAGGUCCGAGCCAGCACUGCUCCGAACCCAGUCCCCGAAAGGGGUCCGGCCUGGGCGCGGCCCGCGCACCUGGAGGCGCGGCGCAGUGGCCGGGGCGUGCGGUCAUCGGUCACCGGGAGGGCGUUGUGGGCCCGGGCGCGAGGGCAGGCGCGGGGCGAGGCCCCUGAGUCACCCGGUCAGCUCAGCCCGCGUCCCGGGAGGCGCUGGAACCGCACCCUCUGCUGGCGGAGCCGAGCGAGGCCCAGAACCCAAACCCAGUUCCCGGGCGGGUGGGGCCGGAGGCCGUUUCCGAGUUCUAGGUGCAGUCCGGAGAGACAGAGAUAAAGAAGGUCCUUGUUC
Molecule: long non-coding RNA, 552 nt
Organism: Myotis lucifugus (little brown bat)
Lineage: Eukaryota; Metazoa; Chordata; Mammalia; Chiroptera; Vespertilionidae
Exons: 2
Source: RefSeq, a predicted model, not a curated record